This 451-nucleotide ribosomal RNA is filed under the name uncultured bacterium. Its description in RNAcentral is "partial 16S ribosomal RNA". It matches the Rfam family "Bacterial small subunit ribosomal RNA", at positions 28 to 507 of the family's 1533-position model. The record is from RNAcentral.
GAUGAAUGCUGGCGGCGUGCCUAACACAUGCAAGUCGAGCGGCAGCGAGGGGUGCUUGCACCCUGUCGGCGAGCGGCGAACGGCUGAGUAACGCGUAGGAAUUUGCCCCAAAGUGAGGAAUAACUGCCCGAAGGGGUAGCUAAUGCCGCAUAUGGUCUUCGGAUUAAAGGAUUUAUCCGCUUUGGGAGAAGCCUGCGUUGGAUUAGGUUGUUGGUAGGGUAAUGGCCUACCAAGCCGACGAUCCAUAGCUGGUCUGAGAGGAUGAUCAGCCAGACUGGAACUGAGACACGGUCCAGACUCCUACGGGAGGCAGCAGUGAGGAAUCUUCCACAAUGGACGAAAGCCUGAUGGAGCAACGCCGCGUGAAGGAUGAAGGCCUUCGGGUUGUAAACUUCUUUUAUGAGUGAAGAAUAUGACGGUAACUCAUGAAUAAGCACCGGCUAACUACGUG